RNAcentral lists this ribosomal RNA (453 nucleotides) under Sadayoshia adaro. RNAcentral's name for it is "partial 16S ribosomal RNA". The stretch from base 327 to 453 matches the Rfam family "Bacterial large subunit ribosomal RNA", at positions 2473 to 2600 of the family's 2925-position model. Lineage: Eukaryota; Metazoa; Arthropoda; Malacostraca; Decapoda; Munididae. The record is from RNAcentral.
UAAGUGUGCAAAGGUAGCAUAAUCAGUAGUUUUUUAAUUGAAGGCUUGUAUGAAGGGUUGGACAAAGAAUAAUCUGUUUCUGUUUUUAUUUUUGAAUUUUACUUUUAAGUGAAAAGGCUUAAAUGUAUUUAAGGGACGAUAAGACCCUAUAAAUCUUUAUAUUAAGUUAUUUUUUAACAAUUAAUAUAGUAAAUAAAAUAAUAAAAUAAAAAAUAUUUUGUUGGGGUGAUGAAAAUAUAAAAUUAACUGUUUUAAAAUAAAAACAAAGUUGUUUGAAAAAAAAUAAAUGAUCCUUUGUUAAGAUUAAAAUUUUAAGUUACUUUAGGGAUAACAGCGUUAUUUUUUUUGAGAGUUCUUAUCGAAAAAAAAGUUUGCGACCUCGAUGUUGAAUUAAAAUUUCUUUAUGGUGCAGAAGUUAUAAAAGAAAGUCUGUUCGACUUUUAAAAUUUUACG